CAGUAACUGGCAUUUGGUUACGGGGUGGCCGUUUUUCUGCGUGGACCAAGCAGGGUCCCAGUUCAAGUUUCUGCUGCGUAUCUGAUAAUCUUGAGUUUCUACAGGAAUUAGGAGUGUGACUUCAGGAAUGGCUUAUUCCAAGUUGUAAAACUAUCCCCUGUCAUGAAGUAUUCAAUCCAGGUUUAAGUCCUUCAGCAUCUGACAUUCUCCUGGCAACUGUAAUUGAAUCAAUGAUGACUCAUCUGAGAUGAGCAAGUUGGUCCAGUCAGACCAAACAAAAGACAUUCUAUAAUCAGGGGAGAAGUCUUCUCUAUAUCUCUCUUAUAUGAGCAAAUUUAAUGACCUCCACCAUCUCUAAGAACAAGCAGCUAUUUCUGUAGAGAAAGAUCGUCUUUGGAUAACAAUACAUGAUUUUAGGCUCCAAAAGUUAAAACGUGUUUGUAAUGUUGAUAUUAUGCAGAGGUCUUGACAGAACUUGGCAGUCUCUGAGGCUACAGAGAAGUGUGAAAAAGAGCAUAGAGAUUUCAGAAGGAGGCAGAUUCAGUCAGACGUACUGAAUCCCGUUUGAUCUCAACUCAGGCACACUCCAGAUGG
Molecule: non-coding RNA, 594 nt
Filed under: Pan troglodytes (chimpanzee)
Lineage: Eukaryota; Metazoa; Chordata; Mammalia; Primates; Hominidae
Source: RNAcentral